UACGAAGGGGGCUAGCGUUGCUCGGAAUCACUGGGCGUAAAGCGCACGUAGGCGGAUCUUUAAGUCAGGGGUGAAAUCCUGGAGCUCAACUCCAGAACUGCCUUUGAUACUGAGGAGCUCGAGUCCGGGAGAGGUGAGUGGAACUGCGAGUGUAGAGGUGAAAUUCGUAGAUAUUCGCAAGAACACCAGUGGCGAAGGCGGCUCACUGGCCCGGUACUGACGCUGAGGUGCGAAAGCGUGGGGAGCAAACAGG
This 253-nucleotide ribosomal RNA is filed under the name uncultured bacterium. RNAcentral's name for it is "partial 16S ribosomal RNA". It matches the Rfam family "Bacterial small subunit ribosomal RNA", at positions 524 to 776 of the family's 1533-position model. The record is from RNAcentral.